CCAGAUUGCAGCUACAGGUGUGGUCACUGUCUCUUCACCCUCUUGGCUCCCUGCCCUCUCUCCUACCCAGCCUCCACUCAGCCCUGUAACCAACCCCUGGCCUUGCUCAGUGUGUUAAGGAUCCGGCAUUGCCAUGAGCUGUGGUGUAGGUCACAGAGGUGGCUCAGAUCUGGCGUCGCUGUGGCUCUAGUGUAGGCCGGUGGUGCCAGCUCCAAUUGGACCCCUAGACUGGGAACUUCCAUAUGCCAAGGGUUUGGCCCUAAAAAGACAAAAAAAAAAAAAAAAAAAGAUAAAGAGUAUUCUGGGGAGUUCCCGUCGUGGCGCAGUGGUUAACGAAUCCGACUAGGAACCAUGAGGCUUCGGGUUCGGUCCCUGCCCUUGCUCAGUGGGUUAAUGAUCCGGCGUUGCCGUGAGCUGUGGUGUAGGUUGCAGAUGUGGCUUGGAUCCCGCGCUGCUGUGGCUCUGGCGUAGGCCGGUGGCUACAGCUCAGAUUCGACCCCCUAGCCUGGGAACCUCCAUAUGCCGCGGGAGCGGCCCAAGAAAUAGCUAAAAAGACAAAACAAAAAAACAAACAAACAAACAAACAAACAAAAGAGUAUUCUGGAAGACUGGGUAAAUUAGUUCACCAAAGCUAGCAAGACAGGGAGAAGGUACGCCCUGGUGGGGGAGUCCCUAACAAUCUCAUUAGACACCCAUGGAGAUGGCACAGUGAUGGAGAAGAGGAGCCCUCCUGCCUCUAGCAAUUUCUUCAAAUAAAGUAAAUCAGGGUGGGUAAAAAUAAUUAGUCACCAGUACUAUUAGGGCUGAUAGUGGUUGGAUGUGUGUAUGAUGGAGAGGCUAUAGUCACAGAGGCAAAGAACACAACACAGGACCCUUGAGCCUUAUUAUGAUCCAGUGGCUGGUUCAUCACGCCUCCUCCAGGGGCUGAUCCCCCCAGCCGUGCCAUAGCUCCUUUGGUUCACUGGCAGUUCCCGGCUUUUACCAGCAGGUGGCAGUAGAACACUUCUGCCUCUUGGGCUCCAUCUGCCGCCUCCUGCUGCUGCAAUUUGCACCCAGUGGCCCAACCCGGCCUUGGAAGGGCCAUCAGACUUCCCUCCCAGGGGCCAAGCCGCCCACAGUCAGCUUACCUGCUCUGACACCCAGGGAGAAGACAGGACCCCGGACCCUGCGUCUCCAGAUUUCCAACUCUAGGCAAGGUGGAGCCGCCCGGACCAGGAAUUGCGGAGGAGUCCACGUAGGAACUUUCUGUUCCUCCUGCUUGAGGAGACUUCCCCAGCCGCAGUCCCGUUGCCUUGCUGGGGCCAAGCCUGUGCACUCGCCCUGCAG
This 1326-nucleotide long non-coding RNA is filed under the name Sus scrofa (pig). Its description in RNAcentral is "lncRNA (ENSSSCG00045006229.1)". Lineage: Eukaryota; Metazoa; Chordata; Mammalia; Artiodactyla; Suidae. The record is from RNAcentral.